This 253-nucleotide ribosomal RNA is filed under the name uncultured bacterium. Its description in RNAcentral is "partial 16S ribosomal RNA". It matches the Rfam family "Bacterial small subunit ribosomal RNA", at positions 524 to 776 of the family's 1533-position model. The record is from RNAcentral.
UACAGAGGGUGCAAGCGUUAAUCGGAAUUACUGGGCGUAAAGGGUGCGUAGGUGGUUUAAUAAGUCAGAUGUGAAAGCCCCGGGCUUAACCUGGGAACGGCAUUUGAAACUAUUAGGCUAGAGGUUGGUAGAGGGAAGUGGAAUUUCCGGUGUAGCGGUGAAAUGCGUAGAUAUCGGAAGGAACAUCAGUGGCGAAGGCGACUUCCUGGACCAAUACUGACACUGAGGCACGAAAGCGUGGGGAGCAAACAGG